UGCUCUGAGGGGGGGGGUCGGCACCACUGAGGUCACUGUUGCAGUGAUUUUAUGAGGUUUAAAGGGUUUUUCCUAAGAUCGAUAUUUAUCACCUGUCGUUAAAAAAGGACCCCUCACCUCUCCUGAUUUGUCUGUUUUGGUAACUACUUGCACCCCCC
This is a long non-coding RNA of Bufo bufo (common toad), 158 nucleotides long. RefSeq lists it as uncharacterized. The transcript has 3 exons. NCBI's taxonomy places the organism in Eukaryota, Metazoa, Chordata, Amphibia, Anura, Bufonidae. The record is from RefSeq and is a predicted model, not a curated record.